Molecule: ribosomal RNA, 253 nt
Filed under: uncultured bacterium
Lineage: Bacteria
Description: partial 16S ribosomal RNA
Rfam family: Bacterial small subunit ribosomal RNA
Source: RNAcentral
UACAGAGGUCUCAAGCGUUGUUCGGAUUCAUUGGGCGUAAAGGGUGCGUAGGCGGCGCGGUAAGUCGGGUGUGAAAUCUCGGAGCUUAACUCCGAAACUGCAUUCGAUACUGCCGUGCUUGAGGACUGGAGAGGAGACUGGAAUUUACGGUGUAGCGGUGAAAUGCGUAGAUAUCGUAAAGAAGACCAGUGGCGAAGGCGGGUCUCUGGACAGUUCCUGACGCUGAGGCACGAAGGCCAGGGGAGCAAACGGG